GGAAACAUUAAAAGUCGAGCGGACAGAUGGGAGCUUGCUCCCUGAUGUUAGCGGCGGUUGGGUGAGUAACACGUGGGUAACCUGCCUGUAAGACUGGGAUAACUCCGGGAAACCGGGGCUAAUACCGGAUGCUUGUUUGAACCGCAUGGUUCAGACAUAAAAGGUGGCUUCGGCUACCACUUACAGAUGGACCCGCGGCGCAUUAGCUAGUUGGUGAGGUAACGGCUCACCAAGGCGACGAUGCGUAGCCGACCUGAGAGGGUGAUCGGCCACACUGGGACUGAGACACGGCCCAGACUCCUACGGGAGGCAGCAGUAGGGAAUCUUCCGCAAUGGACGAAAGUCUGACGGAGCAACGCCGCGUGAGUGAUGAAGGUUUUCGGAUCGUAAAGCUCUGUUGUUAGGGAAGAACAAGUGCCGUUCAAAUAGGGCGGCACCUUGACGGUACCUAACCAGAAAGCCACGGCUAACUACGUGCCAGCAGCCGCGGUAAUACGUAGGUGGCAAGCGUUGUCCGGAAUUAUUGGGCGUAAAGGGCUCGCAGGCGGUUUCUUAAGUCUGAUGUGAAAGCCCCCGGCUCAACCGGGGAGGGUCAUUGGAAACUGGGGAACUUGAGUGCAGAAGAGGAGAGUGGAAUUCCACGUGUAGCGGUGAAAUGCGUAGAGAUGUGGAGGAACACCAGUGGCGAAGGCGACUCUCUGGUCUGUAACUGACGCUGAGGAGCGAAAGCGUGGGGAGCGAACAGGAUUAGAUACCCUGGUAGUCCACGCCGUAAACGAUGAGUGCUAAGUGUUAGGGGGUUUCCGCCCCUUAGUGCUGCAGCUAACGCAUUAAGCACUCCGCCUGGGGAGUACGGUCGCAAGACUGAAACUCAAAGGAAUUGACGGGGGCCCGCACAAGCGGUGGAGCAUGUGGUUUAAUUCGAAGCAACGCGAAAGAACCUUACCAGGUCUUGACAUCCUCUGAAAAUCCUAGAGAUAGGACGUCCCCUUCGGGGGCAGAGUGACAGGGGGUGCAUGGUUGCCCUCAGCUCCUGUCCUGAGAUGUUGGGUUAAGUCCCCCAACGAGCGCCACCCUUGAUCUUAGUUCGCAGCUUUCAGUUGGGCACUCUAAGGGGAUUGCCGGUGACAAACCGGAGGAAGGUGGGGAUGACGUCAAAUCUUCAUGCCCCUUAAGACCGGGGCUACCCACGGGUUACAAUGGGCCAAAACAAAAGG
RNAcentral lists this ribosomal RNA (1217 nucleotides) under Bacillus amyloliquefaciens. RNAcentral's name for it is "bacterial SSU rRNA". It matches the Rfam family "Bacterial small subunit ribosomal RNA", at positions 49 to 1246 of the family's 1533-position model. Lineage: Bacteria; Bacillati; Bacillota; Bacilli; Caryophanales; Bacillaceae. The record is from RNAcentral.